Corticium candelabrum is the source of this 2848-nucleotide long non-coding RNA. RefSeq lists it as uncharacterized. NCBI's taxonomy places the organism in Eukaryota, Metazoa, Porifera, Homoscleromorpha, Homosclerophorida, Plakinidae. The transcript is spliced from 3 exons. The record is from RefSeq and is a predicted model, not a curated record.
AGCCAGACAGAAUUCUCAUUCAUAGUUAUAUCCCGUACAAUUGUCGUUUCUAGAGCCCGCUGAUUUUGGAUUAACGAUUGGGUGAAACCAUUUCGACUUGGACGUUGCUGCCGUUGCGAGGAACAGGUGUAUCGAACUUGGCAUCUAUUCGACACGUGUCCAGUUUCAAAAAAUCCCGUUGAUUGGAUUAUUGAUCCCGUUGAAGCCAUUUCGACAGUCCCGUUGCGGAGAACAGGUGUAUCGAACCUGGCAUCUAUAAUUUCGACGUGAAUCCCGGAACGUGCAAGUCACGUGCAAUACUUACCCGGAUAAUCCGUUUUCCGUAUAUGACGAAUGCCGACUCUCGUCAUUUCGACAGUCCCGCUGAACGUCGUCUGUUCGAAGACGUUGCUGGCGUUUCGGGGAAGAGGUGCAUCAAACACGGCAGCUCCGUAUCUAACGAAGUCACGACGCGUACCGACUGUCGUCAUUUCGACGGUCCCGCUGAACGUCGUCUCUUCGAAGACGUUGCUGGCGUUUCGGGGAACAGGUGCAUCAAACACGGCAGCUCUUCGACGGUCGCAGACUGGCAAACGACUGUGUGCGUAUUUUUUCGAGACCCGGAUAUCAGCAAGAAUAUGUUCCUUUUCCCGACGUCGCUGGCAAUAGACGACACGCUCGGCGCGUACCGUCCGACGUCGGGAACGGGCAGUCUAAAUUCGGUGGAGACACGAUGCGCCGUUCCGGAGAUAUUCGCGCGCGAGCGGAAGCGAGCGCGAUCGGCGGGAAACGGCGUCGUCGUGGGAGAAGUCAGGAAGACGACCGCGGUCUGACUUUCGACCUGAAUGAAUUCGGCGUGCGCGAGCGAAAUUCGGCCGAGAUCGGACUCGCCGUCUUCGAGAGACGCUCGUACGUACGGGCACACAGACAGACAGACAGACACACAGACACCUCUCCUUUAUAUAUAGAGAUACUAGUAUACAUGGCCCGUCCUUCGUACGGGCAAGAUACUGUAUUGUAAAGAUAGGUCUGUGGACACGUCACGUGCAAUCUUUGUUGCGAGGUCCCGGAUAUGCUGAAUGAAUUCGAAUCUUGCUCUUCGCGCUUGUUUCGAUAGAAAUCGACACACUCCCCGUGUAGCGAUUGCUGCAGAAAACGCGUAGGUUGGAUUCGGUGCAAAUGCAAUCAGAAUUUGGAGAGAAACGAAAGCGCUAGAAGAGUAAGUUUCGUCGGCAAGAGAUAUUCGAUCGCUCGAAGCUUUGCGAAGGACGACAAUGCAUACGGUCUACACAGGACUGGCGUGGGCGUGUGUUCGAAUGAACCGGAAUGUGUAGCGUUUGCGUCGUCGAGAAAUUUUACGCGGGGGUCGACCCCUCGAGAGGGGACCCGGUGCAUUAUUUUUUUAUUUUUUACGCAAACCUUCCUCUGUGCGUGCCGAGUGUGCGUACCGAUUUCGGUUGCGAACGGACAAAAGACGUGGCCUCCAAACGCGAACAUACACACACACACACACACACACACACACACACACACACACACACAGACAAUUUGAGCUUUAUAUAUUAGAUACAAAACUACAGGUGAAUUGGUUGCAGAAACUGUCUUGUUAUGACAUCAUCAUGAAUGGUUAGAUUCGUUUGUUGAAGUCUACUUGGGAUGUUUCUAUGAUUGAAGUUUGAGUCAGAGUUUUGACUUCAUAGUUUUCAAAUUAUUUUUAGGAAGUAGUCAUGAUAGCAGUAAAUGUACGAUAUUUACUAUUAGAUAACAUUAGUUAAUAUGUACUUGGUAAGUAGAAGUGUUCCUUAGUGUACAUACCUUGAUGUAUAAAUAGAAGUCUUAAUAUUAAUACAAAAUGGAUAAAGAAAAUGAGGACAUGAUAUAAUGACUGGAUUGAUGAAUGAUAAGAAUCCAUAUUGGCAAUGCUUCUGUCAGCUUUACUGGCUGCCACCCGGCUAUUGUGUUGAGAUAAUCUUUUUUGAAUAGUAAUGGUUUUGAUAGUAUAAUUUAUCUAUUGAGUUUGACUCUUGUAAGCAAUUGACAUUAUUUUAUCAUUCAAAAUAGACACUACAGUAUGAUGUUCAUCGUUACUGUUAUCAGUAUGACUGUACAAGUAAUAUAAUAUAAUAUACAAUUAUUAGUCCUUCGAGUCUUCAUUAUUAUGCCAGCAUCAUUAUUUCAAUCUAUUGUAGGUACUGAGAAAUAGGGGUAAUUCGUCCGCAAAAGUUGUUGCUGAGAAGCAAAUUGCAUAAAUGUGAAAUUUCUUUAGCAUGGUCCAAAGAACAGGCAAUGACUGCACUUCCUUGUGGAAAUUUCUGCAAUGCCGAAGCCCAUAGUGGCAGAAUUCCAUGUUCCAGCCACCUCAAGCUCAUGAACAGAGCUAGCUUGAAUACCUUGAGCCAUCAAUCUUUCUUCCUAUAAAACCACCUGAAAGCAAGGACUAAAGAACGCAACAACCGAACAAAAUAGGCGCCAAAUAUUGACAGAUCACCAGCAAACAAUGCAAAGGGAAGGAGAAAAAAGAUAUUCCAGACUUGUGUACCCGCCAUUCUGAAUAACGCACGUUACCAAAUAUUAAUAUAAACAAUACUGCAUUCUAAAAAUAGUAUAACUUGCAUGCAAUUCACAUCCUAAAUGAAGCAUUGUAGGCAUUCUUGACUUAUUGUAAAGUAUAUGUACAGUAUAUUUCUUAGAACAUUCAUGAAUAUCGUUGAUAACAAGUUGCUGCUGACACAUUCAACAAAGGCUUGUAAAAUUGAAGAGUAUAGACUGAACAUAUCCAUAUCACACAGAAUAAACCAUCUCAAGCAGUAAAAUAGUCUACAAGCAUAAGAGAAAACAUGCAGUGCUUGAAUAGAAAUCCAGUCUGUUU